AACGAACGCUGGCGGCAGGCCUAACACAUGCAAGUCGAGCGCCCCGCAAGGGGAGCGGCGGACGGGUGAGUAACGCGUGGGAACGUACCUUUUGCUUCGGAAUAGCCUCGGGAAACUGGGAGUAAUACCGAAUGUGCCCUACGGGGGAAAGAUUUAUCGGCAAAAGAUCGGCCCGCGUUGGAUUAGGUAGUUGGUGGGGGAAUGGCCUACCAAGCCGACGAUCCAUGGCUGGUUUGAGAGGAUGAUCAGCCACACUGGGACUGAGACACGGCCCAGCCUCCUACGGGAGGCAGCAGCGGGGAAUCUUAGACAAUGGGCGCAAGCCUGAUCUAGCCAUGCCGCGUGAGCGAUGAAGGCCUUAGGGUUGUAAAGCUCUUUCGUGGGGGAAGAUAAUGACUGUACCCCAAGAAGAAGCCCCGGCUAACUCCGUGCCAGCAGCCGCAGUAA
This 447-nucleotide ribosomal RNA is filed under the name uncultured bacterium. Its description in RNAcentral is "partial 16S ribosomal RNA". It matches the Rfam family "Bacterial small subunit ribosomal RNA", at positions 29 to 523 of the family's 1533-position model. The record is from RNAcentral.